This 1571-nucleotide long non-coding RNA is filed under the name Homo sapiens (human). Its description in RNAcentral is "HSALNT0016592". The record is from RNAcentral. Lineage: Eukaryota; Metazoa; Chordata; Mammalia; Primates; Hominidae.
UCAACUUGGUGAGUACUGUGUGAAUUUUAGAAGAUGUGAUUAGGAAGUUUGUUCAUUAGGAAUAUAUACAUUUUGCACCUUUCUUCCCCAUGCAAUUUGGUUUAGGUAAACUGUGGAAAGAGAGUUUCUGGGGUGCCAGUUGAGUUGGUCUCCCCUGUGUGAGACACCCAUGGGGAGCCAUGGGCGGCCUCUGAGGAGAAAAGUCUCCUUAUUGCCUUCAUGCCUUUAUGCCCCGAGAGCAUAACUGCUCAGCGGCAUGCCACAGGUUGCUCAGGGAGAUAACACUCCCUUGAAGCAGUGGAGUAUAAUCAAACAUCUUGGCUCCUCCUGAAACCCACUCCCACCCAUUUCAGUCUGGAUAAGUUAAAGAUCUUAAGUAGUUUAGACAUACACCUUUGCUCAAGGAAAUUCACAGAAACUGCCACUGCUAUACAUCUUAUUGAAUGACUCACGAGUUCUCCUUCACUGAUUAAUCCUUUUCCUCAUUCCCUCCUCGCCCUCCCAUCUGCCCUAAGAACGAAGAGCUUGUAAACCAAUAAACUGGGCGGAGCCCGAGAGCUCUGGGCCUUCAGCAAGCCUCAGCUGCUCCCAUCCCCUGGACUCACCUUUUAAAGCUUAUUCUGUCUCUUUCUAACUCCUUUGUCUCUGCCGGACUCCGGGUACCCUCUGGGUGGUGUGGGGCUGGUUUCCCCCAACAGUAAACAAGAUGAGUCUUCUUGGAAGAAGAAACUGAGUUUAACCCUGAAUACUUGACCUACAAGGCUUGGUUGCUGGGCUAAUUCAUAGUGAAGAGGAUCACGCUAUUCAACGUACAGACACAGGUUCCAAGGCAGCUGAAGGCACCUAUUGCCCAGUGAAAUGGAUUUUCCUGGGGAACAGGCUUCUUCUCCUUGUGUUCCUUGGUGUCCUACGAACUUGGCAUAUUCAGGCACAGGUGCUCAGCAAACCCUUGAGGCCUAACUCAGGGUAAUAAGAGGCCACCAGUACCCCAGGAGAGCCAGGCUGUGCCCAACUGAGGCCAUUACUUUUCUGUGGCUCAACUAAAUUACAUUUAUUGACCCGUACUCUUUUCAAGGUGAAGUACUAUGGAUUGUCAAAGGCCAUUGGGAUAAAUUUUUUUAUUUUGUCAUGUCUGAGCCCAUGUACAUGCUUAUUUUUUUUUUUUAAAAGAAGAAGUUUGGUCAAGAAGAGAUAAAAUAACUGCACGAACACCAUAUGUUAUCUAUUCUAAGCAUAUUUUUUCUCCACAAUUUAAGGUUUCUGAAAUCAAGAUAAGUCAUAAUAUAAAUGUAUACAGCUAAAAGGAAUAGGGUGUUUUUCUCCCAAAAUAUCAUUAUUAAAAUGAUCUGCUUUUUAAAAUUCAGUGGUGUCUUCUGUUGAUAGAGAUGUGAAUUAGUACACUAUUAUGGAAAAACAGUAUGAAGGUUCCUAAAAGAAUUAAAAAUAAAACUACCAUUUGAUCCAGCAAUCCUACUACUGGGCAUAUAUCCAAAGAAAAUUACAUGUCGAAAGGAUAUCUGCACUCUUAUGUUGAUUGCAGCAUUAUUCACAAUAGCCAAGAUAUGGAAGCA